UACCUUUGCGCCCGCAACGGUUCCUGUUUUUCCAAUUUCGGAAAAAGGAUUAAAAGGGAAUCGGGUGAAAAUCCCGAACAGACCCGCUGCUGUAAGUUCUAUUGGAGUUUUGCACCAUACUCAAGCCACUGUCGAAAGACGGGAAGGCGGUGCAAAAAAGAACGAGUCAGAAGACCUGCCGUGCAUAUCAUUCAUUU
This 197-nucleotide non-coding RNA is filed under the name Candidatus Symbiothrix. The record is from RNAcentral. Lineage: Bacteria; Pseudomonadati; Bacteroidota; Bacteroidia; Bacteroidales.